This 1756-nucleotide unclassified non-coding RNA is filed under the name uncultured fungus. Its description in RNAcentral is "sequence contains 18S rRNA gene, ITS1, 5.8S rRNA gene, ITS2, 28S rRNA gene". The stretch from base 688 to 1756 matches the Rfam family "Eukaryotic large subunit ribosomal RNA", at positions 1 to 961 of the family's 3401-position model. The record is from RNAcentral. Lineage: Eukaryota; Fungi.
GGAAGGAUCAUUAUCUAACAACGUUUACAACGUUAACCCCUUCGUGAACUUGUAUUUUUUCAACUCAAUGAUGUUCGAUGGAUAAGGAUCGAGAUGAUGUGGUGUCCGAGAAUAGGCUCGAAAGGGCUUUGUUCAAGGCAGUCUUGAUCUGUGCUUCACGGCGCAUCCUUUAUCAUUUCACCAUGUUUACUCAUUUAUUAACCCCAUGUAUCAUUUUUUGUACGAAACUUUUUUUUCUGCUUUGCUUGCAAGUGAAAAAAACCUAUUUAUUCUAAUGCGAACAACUCUUAGCAACGGAUAUCUAGGCUCUCGUAUCGAUGAAGAACGCAGCGAAAUGCGAUACGUAAUGCGAAUUGCAGAUUUCGUGAAACAUCAAGAUUUUGAACGCAUCUUGCGCUCUGGGGAAACCUGGAGCAUGCCUCUUUGAGUAUCGUAAAAACCAACCUCGGCUGCGACCGUAAAACAGUCGCUGAGUCCGGACAGUGAGAUUUGUCACUUUUCGCUUCUGGCGAGGGGUGUCUCUUUAAGCUGACAGCAACGGUUGAACCACAAAUCUGUUUUGUUGUUCUUAUCUGGCUGAUGCUUGAUAAUUGGCCUUCAUCGGUCAUUCUCUGCAUCUUGGCUUGGAGACUAUGAAACUUAUUUGAAACCGUUCACAAUAAACAAAAGGAAACUUUUUUUAUUGCGCGAUCUCAAAUGAAGCAAGAUUACCCGCCGAAUUUAAGCAUAUAAUUAAGCGGAGGAAAAGAAACUAACAAGGAUUCCCCUAGUAGCGGCGAGCGAACCGGGAGAAGCUCAAUGUUAAAAGCGGGGCUUGCUUCGCGAUGUAACCUCGAGACGGACUCCCAGAUAUGACCUCGGUAAAAGUCCUCUUGGAACAGGGCGUCAAAGAGGGUGACAAUCCCGUUUUUGGCCGAGAGUUCGUAUCGUACGGGAACUGAUCGAAGAGUCGAGUACCUUGGGAAUGGUGCUCUAAAUGGGUGGUAUGUUUCAUCUAAAGCUAAAUAUCGACGAGAGACCGAUAGCGAACAAGUACCGUGAGGGAAAGAUGAAAAGAACUUUGAAAAGAGGUCGUUAAAUAGUACUUGAAAUUGUUAAGAGGUAAGCACUGGAAACCAGUAAUGUCUGUCAACCUCUCACACCCAUGGAAACGGGCUCGCUGACCGAACCUCAAAUCGGAUAGGCAGGGUCCGCCAACAUGUGUGCUACCGGGCAGCAGACGAGUCAGGAUCAGGUCGAUCCGCGGGAGAAAGCGAUUGCAGGGAGUUCAGCUUCGGCUGGGCCGUUAGGUAGUCGUGAAUACCGUGGGUUGGCCUGAGGAACGAUAUUGUCCUCCGUCUCUUAAGUUCCUGGCACCCCAGUGGCGAAAUAGAUGAACUAUUAGCUACUGGGUGGUCACUGGGCGAAUGAGUUCCGGGCAAUCGCGAUCUUGACGAAAUGGUUUCUAUUGACCCGUCUUGAAACACGGACCAAGGAGUCUAGCAUAUAUGCGAGUAUUUGGGUGUAAAAACCCUGAUGCGUAAUGAAAGUGAAAGGUAGGAACCGAAAGGGGCACUAUCGACCGAUUUUCUGCUUGCGGAAGAUUUGAGUAGGAGCAUAUCUGCUGGGACCCGAAAGAUGGUGAACUAUGCCUGAUCAGGGUGAAGCCAGGGGAAACUCUGGUGGAGGCUCGUAGCGAUACUGACGUGCAAAUCGUUCGUCUGAAUUGGGUAUAGGGGCGAAAGACUAAUCGAACCAUCUAGUUGCUGGUUCACGC